RNAcentral lists this long non-coding RNA (289 nucleotides) under Elaeis guineensis (African oil palm). Its description in RNAcentral is "long non-coding RNA (EGUI_LNC070892)". The record is from RNAcentral. Lineage: Eukaryota; Viridiplantae; Streptophyta; Magnoliopsida; Arecales; Arecaceae.
AGCAAGAAACCCUAGGGUUUCUUGCCGCCAGGUCCAUAGAAGGCAGGAAAAGCAGGUGAGGUGCUAGGGUUUUGAGCCCCUCCCCCUUUGUACUGCCAACCAUAUUGCCUCUCCCUCUCUUGCAGCCACCCAAACAUCAGGUCCAAGAUUUGAAAUCUCUUGCUACAAGGUUGGUACAAGUUCCUCUCAGAUCUGGAGUUGAUCUGAGGUCAUUUGAGGCACGGAUGAGAUCUCCAUCAACAGAUCUACAGGAAAGGCUGCAGCAGGAUAGAUCUGCAAGGUCUGGUUC